Molecule: ribosomal RNA, 992 nt
Filed under: Cellulomonas sp. URHB0033
Lineage: Bacteria; Bacillati; Actinomycetota; Actinomycetes; Micrococcales; Cellulomonadaceae
Description: bacterial SSU rRNA
Rfam family: Bacterial small subunit ribosomal RNA
Source: RNAcentral
UGCAGUCGAACGGUGAUGACCAGCUUGCUGGUCUGAUCAGUGGCGAACGGGUGAGUAACACGUGAGCAACCUGCCCUUCACUCUGGGAUAACCACGGGAAACGGUGGCUAAUACCGGAUAUGAGACGUACACGCAUGUGUCGCGUCUGGAAAGAUUUAUCGGUGGGGGAUGGGCUCGCGGCCUAUCAGCUUGUUGGUGGGGUAGUGGCCCACCAAGGCGACGACGGGUAGCCGGCCUGAGAGGGCGACCGGCCACACUGGGACUGAGACACGGCCCAGACUCCUACGGGAGGCAGCAGUGGGGAAUAUUGCACAAUGGGCGCAAGCCUGAUGCAGCGACGCCGCGUGAGGGAUGACGGCCUUCGGGUUGUAAACCUCUUUCAGCAGGGAAGAAGCGCAAGUGACGGUACCUGCAGAAGAAGCGCCGGCUAACUACGUGCCAGCAGCCGCGGUAAUACGUAGGGCGCAAGCGUUGUCCGGAAUUAUUGGGCGUAAAGAGCUCGUAGGCGGUUUGUCGCGUCUGCUGUGAAAACCUAAGGCUCAACCUUGGGCUUGCAGUGGGUACGGGCAGACUAGAGUGCGGUAGGGGUGACUGGAAUUCCUGGUGUAGCGGUGGAAUGCGCAGAUAUCAGGAGGAACACCGAUGGCGAAGGCAGGUCACUGGGCCGCAACUGACGCUGAGGAGCGAAAGCAUGGGGAGCGAACAGGAUUAGAUACCCUGGUAGUCCAUGCCGUAAACGUUGGGCACUAGGUGUGGGGCUCAUUCCACGAGUUCCGUGCCGCAGCAAACGCAUUAAGUGCCCCGCCUGGGGAGUACGGCCGCAAGGCUAAAACUCAAAGAAAUUGACGGGGGCCCGCACAAGCGGCGGAGCAUGCGGAUUAAUUCGAUGCAACGCGAAGAACCUUACCAAGGCUUGACAUACACCGGAAAAGUGCAGAGAUGUGCUCCCCGCAAGGUCGGUGUACAGGUGGUGCAUGGUUGUCGUCAGCUCG